AUAUGAAGCGCCCAUAUGAAUUCAAUCAGAACAGAAGUAGACUUCUUUCUUACCUUGCCAGGUGAACCCUGUCAUCAGAGAUUUCCCUCGCAUCCUGACAAAACCCAGCUGUGUUGGGUCUCAAAUAGGCUUUCACUUUCCUCUCCUCUGCAAACUGCCCCCUAAAUCCAUGUCUUUACAAAGACCUACAAAAUGAGCUGGGGUCAGAGCACAAGCCCAAACAUUUCCUCCAUAGACAAAUCAGGGAACAUAAUAACUCUUCCAAAACUUAAAGCCAGGCAUGGGAUUGUCAGAAAGCCCGUCAUAGCCUCUCUCGCAGGGACCACCAAAGCAGUAUCCUUGUCCCAAAGGCCGAAACCUCCUGCUAAGCCCAGAUCAGAGAUGCCUUUAUCAGCAGGUGGAUCUUACAAACCUUGCACACUUGCUCAGCAGGUUUCAGGUGAGGAGACGAAAAACUUCAGCAAUCAACAGUCCACUUUCUUUGGAGGACAGAACCGGCUGGAUUCGGCCAGCUGUAAUGACAAUGAGGUGUCAGGCUCUGUGAAUUCAGCACAGAAUGGGCAUAAAAGAGCGCAGAGAGGAAAGAGUGAAACAUUCUGGGAGCCUCAUGAACAUCAAACUCUCUCCAAACACAGCAGCUCCCAGAGUCACACCAGCAGCGCUGGCUCAAGCACCAUCCAAAGUGUCAAAUCCACCUCUGAGCUGCUAAAUGAAGCCAGACUUAUUGCUGGACCUGAGCUGCCAGAUGAGGUUGACCAGCAGAGGUCGCCAAAUGAGACCUUAACAGACACAGUGAUGGGAAGUGGGCACAUAGAGGAGGAUAGUGGUGCUAUUGUACAUUUUAUGGAAAGAGAAGCUGGGCACAGUUGCAGCUCUGAUGAUAAGGGGCCAACUCAAAGAGACACCUCAGUACCAAAAGAGAAAUGUUCCCCAAGACUAAUGUGCCAUCCACCUGUGUCAUCUGGUGUCUACAAGAUGGCUGAGUCAGUUUUACAGAAGGAUUCUGAUAUUGGCUCUGAUGGUGGAGGACUCGAGGAUCUCUUAUCCCAGG
RNAcentral lists this long non-coding RNA (1051 nucleotides) under Sinocyclocheilus anshuiensis. RNAcentral's name for it is "lncRNA (ENSSANG00000016322.1)". The record is from RNAcentral. Lineage: Eukaryota; Metazoa; Chordata; Actinopteri; Cypriniformes; Cyprinidae.